Molecule: ribosomal RNA, 494 nt
Filed under: uncultured bacterium
Lineage: Bacteria
Description: bacterial SSU rRNA
Rfam family: Bacterial small subunit ribosomal RNA
Source: RNAcentral
GCUNAACACAUGCAAGUCGAGCGGUAGGCNGUAGCAAUACGCUGAGAGCGGCGGACUGGUGAGUAACGCGUGGAUGAUCUACCGUUAGGGCAUGGGGAUAGCCAUUAGAAAUAGUGGGUAAUACCGAAUACGUUUACACAGGUAAAGCUGUGUAAGGAAAGGAUGCUACGGCAUCGGCCUAACGAUGAGUCUGCGUUCUAUUAGCUAGUUGGUGAGGUAAAGGCCCACCAAGGCGAUGAUGGGUAGCCGGCCUGAGAGGGUGUACGGCCACACUGGGACUGAGAUACGGCCCAGACUCCUACGGGAGGCAGCAGCUAAGAAUAUUCCGCAAUGGACGAAAGUCUGACGGAGCGACGCCGCGUGGAUGAAGAAGGCCGCAAGGUUGUAAAAUCCUUUUGCUGGGGAAGAAUAAGCGCAGGAGGGAAUGCCUGCGUGAUGACAUGAACCGGCGAAUAAGCCCCGGCCAACUACGUGCCAGCAGCCGCGGUAAUACA